AGAAUCAACGCUGGCGGCGUGCCUAACACAUGCAAGUCGAACGAGAAAGUGGGAGCAAUCCCACGAGUAAAGUGGCGCACGGGUGAGUAACACGUGACUAACCUACCCUUGAGUGGGGGAUAACCUAGGGAAACCUGGGCUAAUACCGCAUAAUGCCUACGGGUCAAAGGAGCAAUUCGCUUUAGGAGGGGGUCGCGGCAGAUUAGUUAGUUGGCGGGGUAAUGGCCCACCAAGACAGUGAUCUGUA
This 247-nucleotide ribosomal RNA is filed under the name uncultured bacterium. RNAcentral describes it as "partial small subunit ribosomal RNA". It matches the Rfam family "Bacterial small subunit ribosomal RNA", at positions 26 to 285 of the family's 1533-position model. The record is from RNAcentral.